RNAcentral lists this ribosomal RNA (327 nucleotides) under uncultured eukaryote. RNAcentral describes it as "partial 18S ribosomal RNA". It matches the Rfam family "Eukaryotic small subunit ribosomal RNA", at positions 1470 to 1795 of the family's 1831-position model. The record is from RNAcentral.
CCCUUAGAUGUCCUGGGCUGCACGCGCGUUACACUGAUGCAUUCAACGAGCUUAUAACCUUGGCCGAGAGGCCUGGGCAAUCUUGUUAACGUGCAUCGUGAUAGGGAUAGAUUAUUGAAAUUAUUAAUCUUGAACGAGGAAUUCCUAGUAAACGCAGAUCAUCAAUCUGCAUUGAUUACGUCCCUGCCCUUUGUACACACCGCCCGUCGCACCUACCGAUUGGAUGGUCCGGUGAAGCCUCGGGAUUGUGGUUCUUGCCGCUUUAUUGUGGCGUGACCGCGAGAACUUGUCUAAACCUUAUCAUCUAGAGGAAGGUGAAGUCGUAAC